Molecule: transfer RNA, 107 nt
Filed under: Hadesarchaea archaeon
Lineage: Archaea; Methanobacteriati; Hadarchaeota (SeqCode); Hadarchaeia (SeqCode)
Description: tRNA-OTHER
Rfam family: tRNA
About the family: Transfer RNA (tRNA) molecules are approximately 80 nucleotides in length. Their secondary structure includes four short double-helical elements and three loops (D, anti-codon, and T loops).
Source: RNAcentral
GCGGGGGUAACUCAACCUGGGAGAGUGUCGGGCCCAACGGGGCAAAACUGAAGACCAGGUUGGCGGGUAUCCGAAUGUUGAGGGUUCAAAUCCCUCCCCCCGCACCA